Molecule: transfer RNA, 72 nt
Filed under: Bos taurus (domestic cattle)
Lineage: Eukaryota; Metazoa; Chordata; Mammalia; Artiodactyla; Bovidae
Also listed under: 2 other names
Rfam family: tRNA
About the family: Transfer RNA (tRNA) molecules are approximately 80 nucleotides in length. Their secondary structure includes four short double-helical elements and three loops (D, anti-codon, and T loops).
Source: Rfam by way of RNAcentral
UCGCUGGUGGUCCAGUGGCUAAGACGCCGCACUCCCAAUGCAGGGGCCCGGGUCUGAUCCCUGGUCAGGGAA